GCAUGAUGCAGUGUGAAAAACUCCGGUGGUAUAAGAUGGACCCGCGUUGGAUUAGCUAGUUGGUGAGGUAACGGCCCACCAAGGCGACGAUCCAUAGCCGACCUGAGAGGGUGACCGGCCACAUUGGGACUGAGACACGGCCCAAACUCCUACGGGAGGCAGCAGUGGGGAAUAUUGCACAAUGGGCGAAAGCCUGAUGCAGCGACGCCGCGUGAGCGAAGAAGUAUUUCGGUAUGUAAAGCUCUAUCAGCAGGGAAGAUAAUGACGGUACCUGACUAAGAAGCACCGGCUAAAUACGUGCCAGCAGCCGCGGUAAUACGUAUGGUGCAAGCGUUAUCCGGAUUUACUGGGUGUAAAGGGAGCGCAGGCGGUGCGGCAAGUCUGAUGUGAAAGCCCGGGGCUCAACCCCGGUACUGCAUUGGAAACUGUCGUACUAGAGUGUCGGAGGGGUAAGCGGAAUUCCUAGUGUAGCGGUGAAAUGCGUAGAUAUUAGGAGGAACACCAGUGGCGAAGGCGGCUUACUGGACGAUAACUGACGCUGAGGCUCGAAAGCGUGGGGAGCAAACAGGAUUAGAUACCCUGGUAGUCCACGCGGUAAACGAUGAAUACUAGGUGUCGGG
This 620-nucleotide ribosomal RNA is filed under the name uncultured bacterium. Its description in RNAcentral is "bacterial SSU rRNA". It matches the Rfam family "Bacterial small subunit ribosomal RNA", at positions 188 to 827 of the family's 1533-position model. The record is from RNAcentral.